GUUGUAUGGUUAAGUGACAAAGCGUAUACGGUGGAUGCCUUGGCAGUUAGAGGCGAUGAAGGACGUGUAAGUCUGCGAAAAGCUGUGGUGAGCUGACAAAAAGCAUUUGAGCCACAGAUGUCCGAAUGGGGAAACCCACACAUUUAUGUGUAUCAUUAACUGAAUACAUAGGUUAAUGAGGCGAACGUAGGGAACUGAAACAUCUAAGUACCUAUAGGAAAAGAAAUCAACCGAGAUUCCCUUAGUAGCGGCGAGCGAACGGGGAGUAGCCCUUAAGUUAUAUUGGUGUUAGUGGAAGGCUCUGGAAAGUGCCACGAUACUGGGUGAUAGUCCCGUACAUGACAAUGCCAUUAUAGUGAAAACGAGUAGGUCGGGACACGUGUUAUCCUGACUGAAUAUGGGGGGACCAUCCUCCAAGGCUAAAUACUCCUAACUGACCGAUAGUGAACCAGUACCGUGAGGGAAAGGCGAAAAGAACCCCUGUGAGGGGAGUGAAAUAGAACCUGAAACCGUAUACGUACAAGCAGUGGGAGCCCCAUCACUAAGUGCCUUUAGUGAGAGGCUUCACCAAGAGCUUGUUGUUUGACAGCGAGUAACAUUGGCCUGCGCAAGCAGCCAAUGGUCAACCGCGCCAAUCAAGCAGCAGGGUACUUAGUGAUGGGGUGACUGCGUACCUUUUGUAUAAUGGGUCAGCGACUUAUAUUUAGUAGCAAGGUUAAGUGAAUAACGGAGCCGUAGCGAAAGCGAGUGUUAACUGCGCGUUGAGUUGCUAGGUAUAGACCCGAAACCCGGUGAUCUAGCCAUGGGCAGGUUGAAGGUUGAGUAACAUCAACUGGAGGACCGAACCCACUAACGUUGAAAAGUUAGGGGAUGACUUGUGGCUGGGGGUGAAAGGCCAAUCAAACCGGGAGAUAGCUGGUUCUCCCCGAAAUCUAUUUAGGUAGAGCCUCGGACGAACACCAUUGGGGGUAGAGCACUGUUAAGGCUAGGGGGUCAUCCCGACUUACCAACCCUUUGCAAACUCCGAAUACCGAUGAGUGCUAUCCGGGAGACACACGGCGGGUGCUAACGUCCGUCGUGAAGAGGGAAACAACCCAGACCGCCAGCUAAGGUCCCAAAAUAUUGCUAAGUGGGAAACGAUGUGGGAAGGCUAAGACAGCUAGGAGGUUGGCUUAGAAGCAGCCACCCUUUAAAGAAAGCGUAAUAGCUCACUAGUCGAGUCGGCCUGCGCGGAAGAUGUAACGGGGCUAAGCAAUAUACCGAAGCUGCGGAUUUGAACUUAGGUUCAAGUGGUAGGGGAGCGUUGUGUAAGUGGUUGAAGCUCAAUUGAGAAGUUGGGUGGACAUAUCACAAGUGCGAAUGCUGACAUGAGUAACGAUAAUGGGGGUGAAAAACCCCCACGCCGGAAGACCAAGGUUUCCUGUCCCAUGCUAAUCAGGGCAGGGUAAGUCGGCCCCUAAGGCGAGGCAGAAAUGCGUAGUCGAUGGGAAACGGAUUAAUAUUUCCGUACUUGUAUAAUCAGUGAUGGGAGGACGGAGAAGGCUAGGCAAGCCUGGCGUUGGUAGUCCAGGUGAAAGUGCGUAGGCUGAGUGUUUAGGUAAAUCCGGACACUUAAGGUCGAGACACGAGACGAGCCACUACGGUGGUGAAGUUGUUGAUGCCCUGCUUCCAGGAAAAGUCUCUAAGCUUAUGAUUAUGCGAACCGUACCCCAAACCGACACAGGUGGUCAGGUAGAGAAUACUAAGGCGCUUGAGAGAACUCGGGUGAAGGAACUCGGCAAAAUUGUACCGUAACUUCGGGAGAAGGUACGCCUCUGUGUGUGACAGGACUUGCUCCUUAAGCGCAUGGAGGCCGCAGUGACCAGGUGGCUGGGACUGUUUAUUAAAAACACAGCACUGUGCAAAAUCGAAAGAUGACGUAUACGGUGUGACACCUGCCCGGUGCCGGAAGGUUAAUUGAUGGGGUUAUCUUCGGAGAAGCUCUUGAUCGAAGCCCCGGUAAACGGCGGCCGUAACUAUAACGGUCCUAAGGUAGCGAAAUUCCUUGUCGGGUAAGUUCCGACCUGCACGAAUGGUGUAACCAUGGCCACGCUGUCUCCACCCGAGACUCAGUGAAAUUGAAAUCGCAGUGAAGAUGCUGUGUACCCGCACCUAGACGGAAAGACCCCGUGAACCUUUACUAUAGCUUGGCACUGAACAUUGAACCUACAUGUGUAGGAUAGGUGGGAGGCUUUGAAGCAUUGUCGCCAGAUGAUGUGGAGCCAUCCUUGAAAUACCACCCUUGUAUGUUUGAUGUUCUAACAUAGGUCCCUAAUCGGGAUUAUGGACAGUGUCUGGUGGGUAGUUUGACUGGGGCGGUCUCCUCCCAAAUCGUAACGGAGGAGCACGAAGGUUAGCUAAUCACGGUCGGACAUCGUGAGGUUAGUGCAAUGGCAUAAGCUAGCUUAACUGCGAGACAGACACGUCGAGCAGGUACGAAAGUAGGUCAUAGUGAUCCGGUGGUUCUGUAUGGAAGGGCCAUCGCUCAACGGAUAAAAGGUACUCCGGGGAUAACAGGCUGAUACCGCCCAAGAGUUCAUAUCGACGGCGGUGUUUGGCACCUCGAUGUCGGCUCAUCACAUCCUGGGGCUGAAGUCGGUCCCAAGGGUAUGGCUGUUCGCCAUUUAAAGUGGUACGCGAGCUGGGUUUAGAACGUCGUGAGACAGUUCGGUCCCUAUCUGGUGUGGGCGUUGGAUGAUUGAGGGGAGCUGCUCCUAGUACGAGAGGACCGGAGUGGACGAACCGCUGGUGUUCGGGUUGUCAUGCCAAUGGCAUUGCCCGGUAGCUACGUUCGGAAUCGAUAACCGCUGAAAGCAUCUAAGCGGGAAGCGAGCCCCAAGAUGAGUCAUCCCUGACCUUUAAGGUCUGGAAGGGUUGUUAUAGACUAUGACGUUGAUAGGCAGGAUGUGGAAGUGUUGUAAGGCAUUAAGCUAACCUGUACUAAUUGCCCGAGAGGCUUAACCAUACAACGCCUAA
Molecule: ribosomal RNA, 3015 nt
Filed under: Alteromonas pelagimontana
Lineage: Bacteria; Pseudomonadati; Pseudomonadota; Gammaproteobacteria; Alteromonadales; Alteromonadaceae
Description: 23S ribosomal RNA
Rfam family: Bacterial large subunit ribosomal RNA
Source: RNAcentral